RNAcentral lists this ribosomal RNA (395 nucleotides) under uncultured bacterium. RNAcentral's name for it is "partial 16S ribosomal RNA". It matches the Rfam family "Bacterial small subunit ribosomal RNA", at positions 338 to 730 of the family's 1533-position model. The record is from RNAcentral.
CCUACGGGAGGCUGCAGUGAGGAAUAUUGGUCAAUGGGCGUAAGCCUGAACCAGCCAAGUCGCGUGAGGGAUGAAGGCUCUAUGGAUCGUAAACCUCUUUUAUAAGGGAAUAAAGUGCGGGACGUGUGCCGUUUUGUAUGUACCUUAUGAAUAAGGAUCGGCUAACUUCGUGCCAGCAGACGCGGUAAUACGGAGGAUCCGAGCGUUAUCCGGGUUUAUUGGGUUUAAAGGGUGCGUAGGCGGCCUUUUAAGUCAGCGGUGAAAGUCUGUGGCUCAAACAUAGAAUUGCCGUUGAAACUGGAGGGCUUGAGUGUGUUUGAGGCAGGCGGAAUGCGUGGUGUAGCGGUGAAAUGCUUAGAUAUCACGCAGAACCCCGAUUGCGAAGGCAGGCUGCC